Molecule: long non-coding RNA, 1052 nt
Organism: Pan troglodytes (chimpanzee)
Lineage: Eukaryota; Metazoa; Chordata; Mammalia; Primates; Hominidae
Exons: 5
Source: RefSeq, a predicted model, not a curated record
UUUGAUUGGCCUCAUUUUAGUGACCAACUACCUAACUAAUUAGUUAACCAGCUAACUUUCUUUCUCCUCCUUUUCUGCCUCUUCCCCUUCUCUCCCUCCUCCACCCUUUCUCCCUCUCUGCCUUCCCCUUUCUCCCUCUCUACCUCACUUCCAUCCCUCAGUUCACCCUCCCUUCCUCCCUUCCUGCCUCUCUCUCUCCUACCCUCCUCUCCUCCCUUCCUGCCCCUCUGUCUCCUACCCUCCCCUCCUCCCUUCCUCCUCCCUGUUUCUUCCACUCUCCCCUCUCCCUCCAUUCUUCUCUCCCUCCCUCCCCUUUCCCUUCUUGCCCCUCCCCUGGCUUUCCCACCUCUUCCAGCCUUGCUCUGGCUGAGGUUAUGGAGAUACAUAAAUAACACUUGAGCCUUGAUCACCACCUGGAGUUGGAGAAGACACAGCAGGACACACUCAGGAUAAGAAGCUGGAACAGAGCCUCUCAGGAGCAGUACCAUUUAAUCCUUCACCGCCUAAGAGGAGAUGAGAGCUGUUAUUCCCAUUUUAAAGAUGAAGAAACUGAGCCUAGCAGAGACUGAGAAAAAGCAAUCACACAACUAGGGAAUGGCAGCAUAACAACAAAAAUCCAGAAACCUUUCUGUGGGUGAUUGUACAGUCCCACAUCUCCCCACUGGAAAUCUAGCAACACCCAGUGCAGAAGGGGCAAGGGCAGAGGAACUUGCCUGCACUGCUGCAGGAGUGUACACUGGCGUGAUGUCUGGCAUUCCUCAGCCUGCUCUCCUCUGGUGUCUGGUCCCUUCAAGACGUGGAAACAGCUGUCACCAAGACCCUGAUGAUCUCCAGGUCACCGAAUCCCAAGGCAGCACAAGCGUGGUGCAGUGGUGUGCAUGUGUGCACACUCACACUGUUUCCAGCAUAGAAAACGGCCUUGGGAUAUGCUGCUCCAUCCUCCUGGCCUGGCAGCCUUUCUUGCUCCCACCCUACUUUGUCAGCGUUCACCUGUCAUUCAGACUGGAUCCCGUUUAGACUCACCAGGUGUGGAUCUGCUUGUGUAAUGAGCU